UCUUACACGCUAUCACAACAAAUCAGUCAUGGCCCACGUCCCAUCACCUGCAGAGUGAAAGGACGAGUUGAGGUGACAACAAGUCACUUCCCAUGAUCAUUCAACAUGAUCACUGCCCACGAUCUUUGACAGCAGCAUCACCUACCACGGUUUCUGACAGCCGCCCGUAGGGUGGCGAUGACCAUGCUGCCACCUCAUGUCAUCAUAACAACAUAAAAUAUCUCCUCACCAUUAAUGAGAGGAACAGUACCCCUGGCACUAUAUAUAAACCUUCACACGAAGAGGAAGAUAAUCUCCUGAUACCUAGUAAAAGGCCAACUGAUUUAUAUCUCCCUCUCUAACUAUGGCUAACAAAACCAUCGGAGGGUGCGUCCGGACACCCUGUCUGGAUGUCUUUUGCAGGUAUAACGAUUGAAUCAAGAACCUUUGUAGGUUGAGAUCGCGUGUCCAUCCAUUCAGCAACUGCAUGGAUCGCCAGGGACGCGAGGUAUCAACAUUGGCGCCGUCUGUGGGAAAAAUUUUUAUUUUGAUUCAGUCACUAAAAAAGAUGGCCACACCUUCCCGAAGCCGUUCAUCUGGUAGGGGAGUGGAAGAUGAUUUUGAAUGGCGUUAAACCAUCGAAAAAAGACAGUUGGCAAGCGAACGACAACUGAAAGCUCUCUUCCAAGAGACAGAAAGAUUGAGAGAAGAAAACGUUAUAUUACGCAUCCAGACUUCAACAUCAGGGCCUCCCCGACGUCAGCGUUCAAGGGGCCAAGUAGCAAAUUCAAGGCAUCAACAAGAACCGGAAUCAAUAUAUCCUGGGACGACAGGAGCUAUCCCAGGAGCAUGCAACGUGAGGCCUCAUGAGCCACGCACGCCUAUGCCUCGAGCUCCUCGUGAGGAAAGCUCAGACUCUACUCACUUCUCAGCGAAAAGACAACGUGAUAAAAAAUCUCAGUUGUCAAAUUAGAUGCGCGCAAGACUAGGCCCACAAGAGCCUGGGAGAUCAAGGCCACCAGUGGCCACAACCUGGGCGCCACGCCCUAACCCUGUGGUCACCCCUAUGGUACAGAACGUGCACCCGCAUCGUGACCCCAUGGUCACCCCCGCGAUGCGGAACGUUCACUCGCACCUAGCGGAACAAUCGAUUGGGAGAAACCUCCCAAACGAGCCACCCAUUGGCUCCAUCAGCAAAAGGCUGGAUGACAUGCUCUCCACACCUUUCUGCUCUCAUAUCAUUAGUUACGAGCCCCCAAGGGGAUUCCUCGUACCAAAAUUUUCCACAUACGAUGGAACCAACGAUCCCUUCGAUCACAUCAUGCAUUAUCGACAGCUCAUGACGCUCGAUAUUGGCAAUGAUGCACUACUAUGCAAAGUGUUCCCCGCCAGCCUACAAGGGCAGGCCCUCUCGUGGUUUCAUCGCCUACCUCCCAACUCUGUUGGCAAUUUCAGGGACCUAUCCGAAGCUUUCGUGGGACAAUACUUGUGCUCCGCUCGACACAAGCAAAAUAUCAGCACCCUGCAAAACAUAAAAAUGCAACAUAACGAAUCCUUGAGGGAAUUUGUGAAGCUGUUUGGCCAGGCGGUACUUCAAGUAGAGGCUUGCAGCAUGGAUGUUGUCCUGCAGAUCUUCAAACGAAGCAUCUGUCCAGGCACUCCAUUUUUCGAAUCACUGGCCAAAAAGCCUCCUAUAACGAUGGAUGACUUAUUCAGGCGUGCCAACAAAUAUUCAAUGCUCGAAGAUGACGUGCGUGCAGCCACCCAACAAGUUUUGGUUGCCGGACGGCCAUCUAGAGGUGAUACGGAGAGAAAUGCUAAACCUCCGGAUCAGCCAAGACCAUCCGACCAGAGGCAGGAAGGGCCAAGUCGCCCGGAAAGGCCGCCUCUCACACCCCUUUCCAUAUUGUAUGAGAAACUUCACCCAAUGAUUCAGGGCUUGUCUGACUUCAAAUGGCCUAGACCCAUCGGAACGAACCCCUCCACAAGAGAUCGUAGUCGGAGAUGUGCCUUCCACAAGGAUCAUGGCCAUAUAACAGAGACAUGCCGGGCUCUCCAGUAUCUAGUCGAGAGGCUCAUAAAAGCAGGACAUUUGAAGCAAUACCUCCGCUCAAAUACUAGAGGAAGGGACGCAUCCCAACAUCACAACCCCGGGGCCCCUAGGGCCCUAGUUGCCCCCAAGGCCGUUAUAAACUAUAUUAACGGAGAACCAUCUGACGAGGAGUAUGACUCCAGGUGAAAAAGGCAGAAAUUGUUGCGGGCCGCGUCAAUACGCAAACGAAUCAAUUCCAUCUGGCCUGGGUUAACUGGAAGGGGCCCUCACCCCAUAGAUGGGACAAUCAUCUUUCCACCAGUAGACCCCACCCGAACACUGCAACCACAUCGCGACGCCCUCAUCUUGUCCCUGGAAAUAGGGGACUUCGAUGUGCGGCAUAUCUUGGUUGACCCAGGCAGCUCGGCCGAUCUUGUACAAGCAUCGGUCGUUAGCCACAUGGGACACAGUCUCACAGGCCUUGAAAACCCUGGACGAAUACUAUUCGGGUUCAACGGAUCGUCAACCACAUCCUUGGGAGACAUUAUACUACCGGUCCAAGCUGGUCCAGUCACUCUCAACGUACAAUUCUCGGUGGUACAAGAGUUAUCACCCUUCAAUGUCAUUUUGGGGCGCACAUGGCUCCACUACAUGAAAGCUAUCCCCUCGACAUAUCAUCAAAUGGUAAGUUUUCUCACCAACGAUGGCCAAAUCGACCUAUAUGGCAGCCAAUUAGCCGCUCGCCAAUGCUAUCAGAUAGCACGUGAACCAGGGGCCAAUCAGGAGGAUGCAUCUCCCCCUGAACCCAGCCAUACACAUGACCAAUAGCAAUUAUCGGGUCCGGCAGACAAAGAUCCCCCGGCAGCAGAUCCCUUACAAACAAUCCAAAUUUCGGAGGAAAACACUCACCUCACGAACAUCAGUUCCCUCAUGACGACCGAAGAAACUCAGAGCAUGCAAAAUAUCCUCAAACGAAACCAUGACAUCUUCGCAUGGGCACAUUCUGAUAUGAGGGGAAUUCAUCCCUCUGUUGCAUCUCACAAGCUUAACGUCUUUCCAGCUGCCAGACCCGUCCGGCAGAAGAUUAGACGUUUCCACCCGGAUAGACAAGAAGUUAUCCGGAAUGAGAUUGACAAACUGCUAAAUGUCGGAUUCGUCAGAGAAGUAUCUUAUCCGGAUUGGUUGGCAAACGUAGUGGUGGUACCCAAAAAAGAAGGAAAAUGGCGAGUUUGUGUAGAUUACACCAAUCUCAACAAUGCAUGUCCAAAAGACAGUUUUCCCUUGCCACGAAUAGAUCAAAUUAUGGAUUCCACUUCCGGGCAAGGAAUGCUCUCUUUCUUGAAUGCCUUCUCCGGAUAUCACAAGAUUCUCAUGUCCCUGGAUGACGAAGAAAAGACAGCAUUCAUAACGCCACAUGGCCUCUAUUGCUACAAAGUCAUGUCAUUCGGACUCAAAAAUGCUAGCGCCACUUAUCAGAGAUUGAUGACUAAAAUCUUCAAACCUCUGAUAGGCCACACGGUAGAGGUAUAUAUUGAUGAUAUCGUGGUUAAAAGCAAAACCCGAGAGCAGCAUGUCCUUCACUUACAAGAAGUUUUUCACCUCUUACGAAAGUAUGGCAUGAAGUUAAAUCCUUCUAAAUGCGCAUUUGGCGUAAGUGCUGGCAAAUUUCUGGGAUUUAUGGUCAGCCAAAGGGACAUAGAAGUCAGCCCGGAUCAAGUCAAGGCAGUCAUGGAAACACCCCCUCCCAGGAACAAGAAGGAGCUACAACGACUCACAGGCAAGCUCGUCGCGCUAGGGCGUUUUAUAGCCCGCUUCACUGAUGAAUUGCGACCCUUCUUCUUGGCAAUACGAAAAGCUGGAGCACACGGAUGGACGGACAGUUGCCAAAACGCUUUCGAAAAGAUUAAGCAUUGUCUUACGCAACCACCCAUCUUGAGCAGCCCCAUUCCAAAAGAAAAAUUGUAUAUGUAUUUGGCGGUAUCAGAAUGGGCAAUCAGCGCCGUUCUAUUCCGCUGCCCCUCACCCAAGGAGCAGAAACCUAUCUACUACAUCAACAGGACAUUGGCAGACGUAGAAACCAGAUAUUCAAAAAUGGAGCUAACAGCCUUAGCCCUUCGAAGCGCUGCCCAGAAGCUCCGCCCUUAUUUCCAAGCUCAUCCAGUGAUCGUACUAACUGACCAGCCCCUUCGCAACAUUCUGCACAAGCCAGAUUUAACCGGGAGAAUGCUACAAUGGGCCAUCGAAUUAAGCGAAUUUGGAAUCGAAUUCCAACCCAGAUUGUCCAUGAAAGGCCAAGUAAUGGUUGACUUCAUGCUAGAAUAUUCCCGAAGACCCAGCCAACACCAUGAAUCAAGCAAACAAGAAUGGUGGACCCUACGAGUUGACGGAGCCUCACGCUCAUCAGGCUCUGGAGUUGGGCUCCUACUACAGUCCCCAACUGGGGAACAUUUGGAGCAAGCCAUCCGACUGGGAUUCUCUGCCUCUAACAAUGAAGCAGAAUAUGAGGCCAUCUUGUUCGGAUUGGACCUCGCCCUUGCUCUAUCCGUCUCCAAACUCCGGAUCUACAGUGACUCACAACUCGUGGUAAAACACGUCCAGAAGGAAUAUGAGGCUAAGGACGCACGCAUGGCGCGAUACUUAGCUAAAGUAAGAAACACCUUACAGCAAUUCACAGAAUGGACAAUCGAAAAAAUCAAGCGAGCCGACAAUAGGCGCGCUGACGCCUUGGCCGGCAUAGCUGCCUCCCUCCCUAUCAACGAAGCCAUUCUAUUGCCUAUACAUAUGCAACCCAACCCCUCUGUCGCAGAAAUUUCCACCUGCAAUACCAUUGAGGCACCCCAAGCGGACGGCCAAGAAUGGACGUAUGACAUCGCAGAAUAUAUCCGGACAGGAACUCUACCCGGAGAUCUCAAACAGGCACACAAAGUCCGGGUACAAGCUGCCCGUUUCACCCUGAUUGGGGGGCACCUGUACAAGCGAUCCUUCACAGGACCUUACCUUCGAUGCCUAGGGCAUUCAGAAGCCCAGUAUGUGUUAGCUGAGUUGCAUGAGGGAAUAUGCGGAAAUCAUUCGGGAUGACGAUCUCUGGCACAUAGAGCUCACUCGCAAGGAUACUAUUGGCCAACAAUGAAGAAAGACGCGGCAGCAUAUGUCAAAAGAUGUGGUAAAUGUCAAAGAUAUGCUCUCAUUCCACAUAUGCCAUCAGCAACGUUGAAGUCAGUCUUAGGCCCAUGGCCUUUUGCGCAGUGGGGCAUGGAUAUAGUGGGACCCCUCCCAGCAGCGCCUGCCUAGAAAAAGUUCCUCCUUGUCGCCACUGACUACUUUAGUAAAUGGGUGGAAGCUGAAGCAUAUGCUAGCAUCAAAGACAAAGAUGUCACCAAAUUCAUAUGGAAAAACAUUGUUUGCCGUUUUGGAAUUCCCCAAACCAUCAUAGCUGACAAUGGCCCACAAUUUGAUAGCAUUGCAUUCAGGAAUUUCUGUUCGGAGCUGAACAUCCGGAAUUCAUACUCCACACCGCGAUAUCCUCAAAGUAAUGAGCAAGCAGAAGCUACAAACAAGACCCUAAUCACUGCCUUAAAGAAAAGGCUUGAACAAGCCAAAGGGAAGUGGGUGGAGGAGCUGCCCGGCGUCCUAUGGGCCUACCGAACCACACCCGGACAACCAACAGGAAAUACUCCUUUCGCCAUCGUAUACGGAAUGGAUGCAGUCAUUCCUACUGAAAUAGGUCUCCCUACCAUCCGGACUGACGCAGCAAAACAGAAUGAUGCAAACAUGGAAUUAGGAAGAAAUUUGGAUUGGACGGAUGAAGUAAGAGAAAGUGCAGCCAUCCGGAUGGCAGACUAUCAACAGAGAGCAUCCGCUCACUACAAUCGCAAAGUAAGGCCCAGAAGCUUCAAAAAUGGUACGCUGGUCCUUAGAAAAGUUUUUGAAAACACUGCUGAAGUGGGCGCAGGGAAAUUCCAAGCUAACUGGGAAGGACCCUAUAUAGUGUCUAAAGCAAGUGAAAGUGGAGCCUAUCAUUUACAAAAGUUAGACGGAACUCCAUUGCUUAGACCAUGGAAUGUGUCCAAUUUAAAACAGUACUAUCAAUGAAAAAGCAAGACAAGUACAAAUGGAAAAAAGAAUUGUUUUAUUGAUAUAUAUCAUGUAUGUACAAAGAGGUCUCCGGACCACAAAAAAUACAGAAAGAAGAUUACAAAAGAAAUUGCAAAAAGAAAAGCUAUCAGGGAGCGGGCUUGUCAUGAAGUUGCUUCUCUUCACCCGAAGGAAUUGAAGGGACAUCUUGCUUUAUGCCGUUCUUCUUCAUGCAGCAGCGAUAGCCGAAGAUGAAGGUAUCAUCCACUUGUUUUUUAUAGUCCGCUUCAAGUUUCUUCCUCUCUGCAGCAAACUCCCGCUCUAGCUCUUCUUUUUGCGUUGUUAAGCGUAGCUGCAAAUCUUUUUUCUGCUUCUUUUCAAUUGAAGCCUCCGUCCGGAGUUGCCUCACCUCCCCCCUCAGCCGGGCCACCUCAUCCUCUGCCUCAUACAGGCGGGCGAAUGUUGAUUCCUUCCGGCCCUUAACCUCAGCCAAAUCCGCCCGAAGGGCUUCAUUGUCCUCUCGAACGGUGGAUAAGCUGGCUUCAGCCUCCUCCAGUCUCAAGCGCAACUGGUCUUCAGUAUCUUUGCGCCGAGUGGCGAAGGCCUUCAUAUAAUCAGUGGUCCGCAGCAGGUCAGUGAAAAGAUCGUAUUGAUUGGCCAUGCCGCGGAGACCACUCACCAGCUGCAGACAAACAAACAAAAAAAGCAAAGUUAGAAAUCACACCACAAACACACAUUAGAAUGACAAAGAAUCAAAAAACACAAAGACAGUAUACCGAUUCCACCAUCACGAACAUCUUGGCUGAAGGCAUAACAGUGGUCAAGCCGGGUGGAAUCUGUUUCAGCUUAUUUUCCAACUCCGCGUAGCUAAAAGGGCUAGCGGAGGUGCAAGCCGCGUUAUUAACAAGAUUCCCACCUGAUGAUGCAACAGAAGGAGACUCUUGUUCCGGAUUCAGGGCCUCAACAUUUACGGCUGGAUGGGUCUCCCCGGGUGCAACCUCAUCCGGGACAAUCACCGGGACGGCUGGAGUCUCAGUUGCCAUCUCUACUUCGCCCCCCUCCGGAUGAGCGUCGUAGGCGGAUGAGCAACUAACUUCAAUCUCUUGUUGACGAUCUUGAAGCCGCCCGAUGAGUCCGGACCUCAGAUUGCACACCGAACGAGGCCUCUUUGAAGGUGGCCCCUUCACCAGAACAAGAGCCAGACGGUCCGGAUCGUUAGAGGGCUGACUCUAACUUUCUGCCCCUACUUCCUCCAUCGGGGUUGCACAAACGACUUCAGUUGCAUCGACAUCCGGAUUAGGGGAGUCCGGAUGGUUGAUGGACGCAGCUUCCUCAACCAAAUUAUCCAGACGGGCAACCGCUGCCAAGGAAGUACUCGAGUGGUUCAGCCCCGCGACGUGUCCGGAUCCGCUUGAGAUAGAAUGAGGAGCAGGGUUCACUGGCUCCUCUAUUAUUACCUCCGCCUCAUAAGUAAUUGGCGGAAGAGCAAAAUCCUUGGGAGGAGUGGGCUCCUUCACCCCCUUCCCAUUCUUCACCAGCUUCCUCUUUUUCGCUGGAGCUUUAUUUGGAGGAGAGGCUGCGCGGCGUUUUUGUCCGGGAGCCUUACGAAAGGUUCCUUCGUUCUUUUUCUUCUCCCGAUUAUCCAGGAGCGCUCGGCGUUUUUCAGCGUCAACGUCUUUAAACUCCUGGUAAAUCGAGAGAUCCUUCACAGUAUAAUGCUCCCCAGGCACUACCUCCUUUGGCAUUUUCCUGGGGAGAAUGUUGACAACAUACUCUUGGGACUCCCGGACGGCCGCCAUCAGGUUCCGCGCAGUAAGCAGCCUCUUGUAGCACCUCUCCUUGGCGUCUAUCUCAAACAACUUAUUGAGACAGGCAAAAGACGCCUUUUCCACCCAGUCCACGAUGUGGCCCCUCCUUUCCGGACCUGCAUUGACAGUAACGAAAGGUGAGAAAACCAUCCGAAAAAAUCAACAAAAGACAACAAAAUAAAAGUCGGACAAAAGUCGCAAAGCAAACUUACCCGGAAUCACUAAGGAGUAGUUUGGAGAGAAGGGCCUCGCCGGAUGCUUCGACCCCGCCCAUGCACCCUGGACCAUCACGAGUCCCUUCGCACCUCCCUUCGUUGAGUCCGGCAGCUCCGUCACCAAUUGAAGGGAGGGCAGGUGAGCGGACAUGCUGAAGAUGUCAUUUUUUACCUUCUUCAGCGAGUAAACAAAAAACACCUCCAGCAGCGUAAGGUCGAGGUUGUACAGCAUGUUUAUGAUGCUGCAUCCCAUCAGCACCCGGACGAUGUUGGGAUGAAUGAAGGCGGGUGGAAUCUUGGUGAAAUGGAGGAAUUCCUUGAACAACACCGGCAGAGGGAACCGGAGCCCCGCGUUGAAUUGUUCCUUUGAGAAAAUGACGGUAUCUUGUUCAGCUUUCUCGGUAGACACGACAUCCUCCCCAUUCAGAAAUUCAACAAUUACGCCAUUUGGAAUGCAGAAUCGAUCCCGGAACUCCUUUACGCUCAGUUUGUCUGUAGAUUUCCCAUGAGCGUCGCCGGUGCCGGCAGAUGAAGUAGCUUUCUACUUCGAAGACAUUUUUUAGCCCGAGUUUUACUGAAACCUACAUACAAAAAAGUGCAACAGUCAAACACAGCAAUCCAGAAAAUCAACAAACACCAACAUUCAACACACAGUCGCAAGCUAUUUGCCCAAAGCAAGUCAGAAAUCAAGCCAAUGAACAAACAAGCGCAACAAAUGGAAAACAAAAACAAAAUGCACGUACCAAAUAGAAAUGCCGAGAAGAAAGGUUGAUGUUGCGAUACAAAAUCACCGGCAAGAAAAACUCUAGGGUUUUUUUUUUACUCAGAAAAGCAGAGGAAAGCACAGGAAGAAGAAGAAGCAAAAACUCUCAGAAAAAAAUGCAGUAGGAAAAAUACAACAGUAGGCACAGUAUGCUAUUUAUAGGGGGACAGCCCCUAGGAAAGCCAAAUGCCCAACAAACGUCAUCAUUGAAACGACAUGCUGCCUGGGAAUACCCAGAGUCGGCGGCUCAUCAUAAAUGCCUUUUUGGCUUCCGCACCCCCACUCGCCACGUGGCCCAACCAGACAAAAGGUCGACUUCGGUUUCAAAAAACCAAUUAUUUUUUAACCCGCCCAUUUUUGCUCGGGCAAAAUAGGCAAGUUAAAAAGGGGGGCAUUGUAGGGACCCCUCCCUCCGAGACACGUGGCACGCAUCUUACAGUGACACGUGGCACGCAUCUUACAGUCACACAUUGUCAUCCGGGUCACCCUCAUCCGGAUCUUCCUAUAAAGCACACAUAACACGCUUUUCCCAUCCGGACUACCUCAAGGAAGAGCAAACGACGCUUACAAAACAUAGGCAUCCGGACGGUUUCCAUAAAUGCGUCCGCUCCACAAUACAUCCGGAUAAUCAAUAUAUGUCAUCCGGACAUAAUUGUCCGGAUCAUUGACUAAAGUAAAUCGAGUCUUACACGCUAUCGCAACAAAUCAGCCAUGGCCCACGUCCCAUCACCUGCAGAGUGAAAGGACGAGUUGAGGUGACAACAAGUCACUUCCCAUGAUCAUUCAACAUGAUCACUGCCCACGAUCUCUGACAGCAGCAUCACCUACCACGGUUUCUGACAGCCGCCCGUAGGGUGGCGAUGACCAUGCUGCCACCUCAUGUCAUCAUAACAACAUAUAUCUCCUCACCAUUAAUGAGAGGAACAGUACCCCUGGCACUAUAUAUAAACCUUCACACGAAGAGGAAGGUAAUCUCCUGAUACCUAGUAAAAGGCCAACUGAUUUAUAUCUCCCUCUCUAACUAUGGCUAACAAAACCAUCG
RNAcentral lists this long non-coding RNA (9913 nucleotides) under Vitis vinifera (wine grape). RNAcentral's name for it is "long non-coding RNA (VVIN_LNC006363)". Lineage: Eukaryota; Viridiplantae; Streptophyta; Magnoliopsida; Vitales; Vitaceae. The record is from RNAcentral.